Molecule: long non-coding RNA, 773 nt
Filed under: Astyanax mexicanus (Mexican tetra)
Lineage: Eukaryota; Metazoa; Chordata; Actinopteri; Characiformes; Acestrorhamphidae
Description: lncRNA (ENSAMXG00005017398.1)
Source: RNAcentral
CUGCACUUAAAGUGAGUUUUAACCCUAGCAAAAAUGCAAGUGCGUUUAUAUUUGAUCUAUUUUCUCAUUGCACGUCUUACCACUGAAGGCUGCAGAAGUAAAGACUAUGUAAACAUGGACAUUACUGCAUACGUCGGAGACUCUUUACUGCUGCCUUGCUCCUGUGAUGGCUUUUCUAAACAUGCUCAUAGAUUUCGCUGGAGUAUAGAUUACAUAAGCGGUGGCUCAGCAUACAUAAGUUCGGAUGGUUUAAACAAAAUUAGAAGACCAGUUCAGCUGUUUAACAAUCACUCUCCAGGGAAUCUCUCUGUAUUAAUACCACACCUUACUGAAGAGGAUGGAGGAGAGUACAUGUGUAAUGUCAGGGAAUAUGACAUGGUCAUGAUUCGGGCAAUUUUAAAAGUGACUGUCAUCCCAAAACCAACAACCACAACCAUCCAACCAACAACUUCAUAUGUUGGUGCAGCUCCACAUGUGAACCAGUCUCUGACCUACUUCCCCUUUGCUUUGGUGGCUACUUUUAUAUUCCACAUUGUGUUUGCCGUACGGUUUCUUUUCAAGAAGCGCAAAGAUCCUGCCAGAGUGCAAUACAGCACUGCCAAUCAGGAAGAAACAGUAAGUCUGUAGAAGAAGAAAAGCAGCGCCCAUAAAGAGACCACCUACUAACCUACUAUGCGCUUUAUAAUAGCAAAUGUACUGUAGAUCAUGAAAAGUCAAUGUAAACCCAUUUUAUUUCCACUUUGAACAAAUUCUGUCACUUAUUUUGAUAUCAG